AUGGACGCCGCUAAGCCUGAUCUGCCGCAGGAGCUGGAGGGGCACGAUGACAACGAUGGCAUCAUCAUGGAGAAGACGAGCACCGACGAGACGUCGUCGGGCGAGCCAGUCCGCAACUACCGGGGAUGGAAGGCCAUGCCAUAUGUCAUAGGGAAUGAGACGUUCGAGAAGCUUGGCACGCUCGGGACACUAUGGAACUUGCUGGUCUACCUGACGACAGUGUACCACAUAAAAAGCGUCAACGCCGCCACCAUACUCAACUUCUUCUCCGGCACCAGCAACCUCGCCACCAUCCUAGGCGCAUUCAUCAGCGACACCUACCUUGGCCGCUACACCACCCUGGCCGCUGCCACCAUCGCAUCAUUCAUCGGCAUGGUCCUGCUCACCCUCACUGCCGCGCUCCACUCCCUCCACCCUCCUGCAUGCACUUCCGAAGGACAAUGUGAGGGUCCCACCCCCUCCCAGCUUGCUGCGCUCAUGGUAUCCUUCUUCUUCCUCGUUGUCGGCGCUGGCGGCAUCCGCCCUUGCAACCUGGCAUUCGGGGCCGACCAGUUCAACCCACGUACCGCCGAUGGCCGCCGAGGCAUCGCCAGCUUCUUCAACUGGUACUACUUCACCUUCACUAUUGCCAUGAUGCUCUCUGCCACCGUCAUCAUCUACCUCCAGAGCGACGUCAACUGGGCGCUGGGCCUCGCAGUGCCUGCCGUGCUCAUGGGCCUUUCCUGCGUUCUCUUCUUCAUGGGCACACGCCUCUAUGUCUGCGUUCGCCCCGAGGGCAGCCCGUUCACCAGCUUCGCACAGGUCCUCAUCGCCGCCACCCGCAAACGCCGCCUCCGGCGAUCUCACAAUACUUUCGAGUUUUUUGACCCGCCACACCAGAGCAAGCUCGUCUCCAAGUUGGCCUACACCGACCAGUUCACAUGCCUUGACAAGGCCGCCAUGCGAACCACCAAGGAUGUACUUUGCUCUGAUGAGAAGACGUCGGCGAACCCGUGGCGGCUAUGCACGGUGCAGCAGGUGGAGGAGGUGAAGUGCCUGGCACGCAUCAUCCCGGUGUGGUUGUCGGGUAUUGUCUACUUCGUGGUGAUCACCCAGCUAGGCACCUACGUCGUGUUCCAGGCGGCGCAGACUGACCGCCGGAUCAUCAAGUCUGCCAGCUUCCAGAUCCCGCAGGGCUCCUUCAUCGUCUUUCAAAUGCUUGCCCUCACGGUCUGGAUCCCGGUGUAUGACCGAGUGAUGGUGCCGACACUUUUUCGCUUCACCAAGCGUGAGGGCGGCAUCACUUUGCUCCAGCGGAUCGGCAUCGGGUUGGUGCUCUCCGUGGUGACGAUGCUGGUGUCGGCAGCCGUGGAGCACCGUCGGCGCCGGACGGCUAUGAUGUCAUGCUUUUGGCUAGUACCGCAACAACUGUUGGCCGGACUGUCGGAGGCAUUUACCGCCAUCGGGCUGAUCGAGUUCUACUACCGACAGUUCCCGGAGAACAUGCGAAGUGUAGCGGGGGCAUUCUUCUUCCUGGGGCUCGGGCUGGCAAGCUUCGCAAGCGGGCUCAUGGUGAUUGCGGUGCACCGGGCGACGAGCAGACGGGACGGGCGGCCGGACUGGCUGGCGCAGGACCUAGACGAGGGGAGGGUGGACCUAUUCUACCUGGUCACGGCUGCCAUCGCCGCCGUCAAUCUCAUCUAUUUUGUGGCCUGCUCGUGGUGGUACAGGUUCAAGAAGUCCGACGGUGACGUCAACGCUGGCAAUGAUGUCGAGCUUGAUGAAAGCUCAAAGAUUGCCGUGAAUCCGGCGCCGGUUUAG
This 1800-nucleotide ribosomal RNA is filed under the name Triticum aestivum (bread wheat). RNAcentral describes it as "partial small subunit ribosomal RNA". Lineage: Eukaryota; Viridiplantae; Streptophyta; Magnoliopsida; Poales; Poaceae. The record is from RNAcentral.